GACGAACGCUGGCGGCGUGCUUAACACAUGCAAGUCGAACGAUGAAGCCGGAGCUUGCUCCGGUGGAUUAGUGGCGAACGGGUGAGUAACACGUGAGCAAUCUGCCCUUGACUCUGGGAUAACUGCGGGAAACUGUAGCUAAUACCGGAUACGACGCCUUGGGGCAUCCCAGGGUGUGGAAAGAAUUUCGGUCAAGGAUGAGCUCGCGGCCUAUCAGCUAGUUGGUGAGGUAAUGGCUCACCAAGGCGACGAUGGGUAGCCGGCCUGAGAGGGUGACCGGCCACACUGGAACUGAGACACGGUCCAGACUCCUACGGGAGGCAGCAGUGGGGAAUAUUGCACAAUGGGCGAAAGCCUGAUGCAGCAACGCCGCGUGAGGGAUGAAGGCCUUCGGGUUGUAAACCUCUUUUAGCAGGGAAGAAGCGAAAGUGACGGUACCUGCAGAAAAAGCACCGGCUAACUACGUGCCAGCCGCCGCUGUAA
Molecule: ribosomal RNA, 483 nt
Filed under: uncultured bacterium
Lineage: Bacteria
Description: partial 16S ribosomal RNA
Rfam family: Bacterial small subunit ribosomal RNA
Source: RNAcentral